RNAcentral lists this long non-coding RNA (4061 nucleotides) under Sus scrofa (pig). RNAcentral's name for it is "lncRNA (ENSSSCG00050051692.1)". The record is from RNAcentral. Lineage: Eukaryota; Metazoa; Chordata; Mammalia; Artiodactyla; Suidae.
UUUUUUUUUUUUUUUGGAUACAACUUUAAAAGGGAUUUUUUUUAAACUUUCUCUUUCUGAUAUUUCAUUGUUAGUGUAAAGAAGUUAAGCAAAUAAUCUUGUAUCUUGCAUAUUAAUCCUGUAUCUUGCUACCUUGCCGAAUUCAUCAAUUGGUUCUAAUAGUUUUUGUGUGGAGUCUUUAGGGUUUUCUACAUAGAGUAACAUAUCAUCUGCAUUGAAUGACAACUUUACCUUUCCCCUUCCGAUGUGGACACCUUUUGUUUCUUUUUCUUGUCAGAUUGCUCUGGUUAGGACUCCCAAUACUGUGCUGAAUAGAAGUAGUUCUCACCUUGUUCCACAAUUUAGCAGGAAGGCUUUCAGCUUUUUACCAUUUAGUAUUAUGCUACUGUGGGUUUGUCAUAAAUGGCUUUGAUUACGUCGAGAUACGUUCCCUCUAUAACCACUUUGGCAAGCGUUCUUAUCAAAAAUAGAUGUUGAGUUUCAUCAAAUACUUCUUCUACAUGUAUUGAGAUGUUCAUGUGUUGAACCUGGAAGGAAUCUAACUUGGUCAUGGUGUGUGAUCCUUUUUAUGUGCUGUUGGAUUCAGUUUGCUAAUAUUUUGUUGAGGAUUUUUGCAUCUAUAUUCAUCAAAGAUAUUGGCCUAUAAUUUUCUUUUUUGGUUGAAAAAGAAAAAAGAAAAGCAAACAGAAUGGAAAGAAGAAAAGAAAAUGGACAGAGUGAUAUUGUAAAGACUAUUAUUUCAUGAAAAUUUAUAUAUAGCUAGAUGAACAUGUCAUAACUUUAGCACGCAUUUCUUAGUUUGGUGAUGUUUGAAAGCCGCUGAACUAAAUGUUGCCUUGAAACUUUUCCUGUUCCAACUCUGAGUCUCCCAUUGGCUUUGAAAUCCUCUACAGAAUAAAUAAGAAAACAUUAACAGCAUGUUCUAAAGAGAAGAAAAGAGCCUACGGGUUAGAAACAAAAACAUCCACAACUCCAAAAUGAUCUCUGCCCUCUCCUUCCAGCAAGCACCUAGAAGUUGUGCAGAAACAGCCACUGCUACCCCGAGCAGUGGGUCACCUGGACUGCCUGCUGCCUGUGGGGACUGUAGAGUCUGCUCCCACCUCUGCCCAGCAGGCUACGGCAGGUGUGCUCAGGUAUUGGGGCUGGAGUUCGCCCACACUGCAGCCUCCUGGGGACCUGGACUUUGGGACACAGAGAAAAAGAAAGUGGUUCCAGGCUAAACACGUCAGCUUUACACAAGCAACCAGAAUGACCAAGAAAAAGACGUGGGCCCUCUGCUGGGCAGCGCAUCCUCCCGCUGCUCCCCGCUGUGGAGGAGGAAGGGGAGUCCCCCCCAUAGUGUCCCAGGCCCACACGGCAUCACGUAAUACCAUUCUCUGCUGCCAAAAGGCUGCAACCCACUACCACCAGGUUAAGCACUUCCAGUUCUUAUUUGCAAGGAGCCCCGUCAAAAGCUUGUUUCACAACACUUUUUGUUCAAAUUAAACUGCUUCUGCUUUAGGUUAGGAAAAAUUCCACCUGAAUAAAACGGGCACGCGGGUGCUGACCAGGUGUGCCUUUUAAGCAUGAAAGUCCAAGACUGAGCUUUCACACUUGGACCUGCUAAUAGCUGUGUAGCGGCGGGGGCAGGCCGUCCUGCCAUCAACGCCAGCGCCCCAACCUCCCCAUAACUGACCAACGUCACCAGGUCGCCCUCAGGUCACGGUGCCACAGGCAGGAAUGUUCCAUAAUUGUCCCCACCGUGCCCUUGUUGCUAUGACUGACAGUUACUCUCAAAACAGAAAGAAGCGGGAACUCCUGAUGAUUCCAGCUGUGUGGUAGGUCUGGAAAUAGGGUGGCGUUUCUACAGAUGGUGCAGGAGCAAGUGGAAAUCAGAGAGGAAAAUGAACCAUAACCGCGAGCUCACACAGCACAUUCAAGCCGGAUCAAAGGCACGUCUAAGAUGCAAAACCAUGAAACUUUCACAGGACAUAAGAGGAAGCCCUCAGGAUUUGGAUUUUGGUUCGGAAGUCUCAGCAUACUAAAAGCACCAUCCAGAAAAAGAAACUGGUGACUUGGACUUAAUCAUGAGACACCUUUGCUCAGAGACCCUGCUAAGGAAAGACACCUGUAAACAUCCCACAAAAGUCUCACAGACAGUCUCAGGGCGGCUUCCUCUCCAGUCACGGGCUUCUUCCACCUCCCCCCAUCCCCAGGUCUUUUUAAUUCAAGGACACCAAGUCUUAUUAGUGUCACAUUCUCUCCUCAGGUUUUCCAGAUGCUCUGUCAAUGAUCAAAAGUAAGAAGCAAGCAGGGCAGAGAACCCAAGACUCAGCCAGCAGGAGACACAACACCUACCUCAAUAUUACCAAAAAAAAAUCCAAAUUAAUGUAAUCAAAUCUAUGAUGAACCGUGUAUCAAAAUUUACAUGCAGACGGGACUCUCUGCUUGCCCCGCUGUCGCCCUAGUCCUGGCUCCUGGAAGAACAGGCAACGAAACUGUACACCAGCUUACGCUGUGCAAAAUAUUUAUUUACUAUUCUAUCCAUCCGUGGAAAUAAUUUCACAGACUCAAUGUGAUUUUUUAUGUUGACAGUUUAGUCAAGGGUGGUCAAGGACUGUCUGUGUGGCCCUAUGCUAGUCGCACUGAUGUGUUUCUAAAAAGACCACAUCUGGCACAGAACAGGAAAGCCCAUUUCCACCCAGGUUUACAAAGAAAGAAGAUUUGAUCCAAAUACUUUCCUUGGAAUCACUGAGCGUAAUAUCCUGUCACAAUCUGUCCUGAUCCUGACACCUGAUCCUGAUCUCAGACACUGAGCGACUGAGCACCACGCAGCACCGACCACGCGGGCGUCUGUUCGACACUGUGCUGACACAGAGGCACUACCAUGCAUUUCUGUCCAAUUUUCAUCCUGCUUUCUAUGCCCUACGAUGGGAGCGAACUCAGUUUGAAACACAGCGGGGCAGGGGGUCCAGUCUUUGGCCAUCCGUUUGCCCAACCCGCUGUUUUUACUGCUCAUCUAUUUUCUGACACCCUACAAGGCAGCGCCAGCGACGGGCGGGCGUUACAAAGGUCUGGAGCAAGUGAAGGGUGUCCAGAGCUCGGUGGGUGUUCCUUCCAGAAGGGGGGGCAGCGCACGCAUACCUAACAGCUCCCAGAGGCAAAUGGGCAGGAGGUUGCACAUGUGAAGCUAUUUCCAGCAGAGUCUGGAAGCAGCAUGGGUCAGGCAGUGCACCGAUCUGUGGAGACGAGCGCUGAAAAACGGACGAAGGUGAAGGGUUGUGCCUGUCUGUGCAUGUGUGUCUGUGUGCGCACGUGUGUGCUCGGCUGGUUUGGGCGGCUGUCUGUGAAAACAGGUGAGCGGGAUGAUAGAAAUAAAAAGGAGACAUUAAUUGUGUUCCUAAGUCCAGGCCACAUAACGUUCUGAAAAUUUUCAUCACCCAAGUGAAUGAGCACAGCGGUUAAUGGGACUCUCUGACCGAGGCAGGCAGCUUUUCCUGGGAUCCCGAGUCUUGGUCUUGCAGUGCCCCUUCGACUGAAGGAGCUUAACACGUCUUCCUGAAGUUUUAAGGACAUUUAAAAUUUGUUACCAUUUCUUUUAUGUAUUCAAUUAGGUUGAAAAUCGUAUUUCAAUUUAGAAUUUUACCUAGGUAUGCCACCUGAGAAACUAAUAAAGUACGUUUGGAUUUUAGUACAUUUCAAGCUGAUGAAACGCAGCUAAUAGCAUGUCAGAAGAAACAGCAGCAGAACCUUAAAUGCGAUGUUCGAAUAGCAAAUGCCUCCCCCCCCCAUAACCAGUUCCUAAUAGGUAAGUGCCAGGCUGGGCAAAUGGACAAGGAUAACGGGUGAAGGUGGGCAGCCUUAGACGUUUCUGGUUUAUUGGAAGUUAUCAUGCACCGAGCUUGCAUGUCUUUUUUAAAGCAUCACCAUGCAGAGCUGCUCUGUCACACUCCUGCCACUGAAAGCCAGCCCCUCUGAGUCAACGGUCUUCUGAGCUCAGCAGAUUCUGAGUCGGAGAGGUGAUUUGCAUGGAUUUUUGUGCAAUCCUAUUUACAAACCAAUUGACAAAAAAGAAAGUGUUC